GCGAAGCAUCUGCCAAGGAUGUUUUCAUUAAUCAAGAACGAAAGUUAGGGGAUCGAAGACGAUCAGAUACCGUCGUAGUCUUAACCAUAAACGAUGCCGACCAGCGAUUAGGAGACGUUGAAUACAAAACACCACCAUCGGCGCGGUCGUCCUUGGCGUGUCUCGGCUUCACGGCCGGGGCGCGCGAGGGCGGUUUAGCCCGGUGGCACCGGUGAAUGACUCCCCU
RNAcentral lists this ribosomal RNA (226 nucleotides) under Acanthamoeba genotype T4. RNAcentral describes it as "partial 18S ribosomal RNA". The stretch from base 1 to 170 matches the Rfam family "Eukaryotic small subunit ribosomal RNA", at positions 945 to 1115 of the family's 1831-position model. The record is from RNAcentral. Lineage: Eukaryota; Discosea; Longamoebia; Acanthamoebidae.